GGAAACCCAUGUGACGAGGCUCCACAGGAAAAUAUUGAUUAAUAAGAGAUUGGGUCAAGAAUUUAUUUCAUCAGAUAAAGUUAAAAAACGAGGAGUGGUCAUUUACGCAAAGGAGAGCCUCUCACCAAAAUUCGUCUUUAAGGAUGAACAAGGAAGAUUCAUAGCAAUUGAAAUUCAAGCACAAGGAGAAAAACUUUUGAUAGUAGGCUUAUAUGCACCAAAUGAGGGGAAAUCUAUAUUUUACAAAAAGUUGCAUGAGAUCUUGAUGGACUAUAUGGACUAUAACACUGUUUUUAUGGGAGAUAUGAAUGGGGUGGUUUCCACAAACAUGGACAAGUCACAAAGAGAGGUAGUCACUAAAGAUGGCAGACUACCGAAAACAUUCUUUGAAUUAACUGACAAUAUGGAUUUGAUUGACAUUUGGAGAACUAGGAAUCCCCUUGAUAGAGAAGGAACCUUUUUUUCUGAAGCCCAAAAGACAUGGACAAGAAUUGACCAAAUCUGGACUACUAGAGGACUGGCACCUAAGGUUAGGAAGGUAGAGAUCUGUCCAAAAACAUGCUCCGACCAUAACGCCGUGAGAAUGGAGAUGAAGUUAACAUCUACUGGUUCCUUCCGAUGGAGGAUGAAUGACACCUUGUUUAGAGAUCAAGAGGUGAUUAAGAAGGCCCAAAAGACAUUGAGAGACUAUUUUGAGAUAAACUUGAAUACAGCUGUAGAAAAAAGAAUAAUCUGGGACGCAAGUAAAGCUGUUAUGAGGGGCUUCCUGAUUCAACAGAAUUCAGUUAAGAAGAGGGCCCAAAAUGU
Podarcis lilfordi (Lilford's wall lizard) is the source of this 807-nucleotide non-coding RNA. NCBI's taxonomy places the organism in Eukaryota, Metazoa, Chordata, Lepidosauria, Squamata, Lacertidae. The record is from the annotation of a GenBank genome assembly.